RNAcentral lists this ribosomal RNA (292 nucleotides) under uncultured bacterium. Its description in RNAcentral is "partial 16S ribosomal RNA". It matches the Rfam family "Archaeal small subunit ribosomal RNA", at positions 455 to 747 of the family's 1478-position model. The record is from RNAcentral.
GUGCCAGCAGCGGGGUAAUACCGGCAGCCCGAGUGAUGGCCGAUCUUAUUGGGCCUAAAGCGUCCGUAGCUGGCCGACCAAGUCUCCCGGGAAAUCCACCCGCCCAACGGGUGGGCGUCCGGUGGAAACUGUGUGGCUUGGGACCGGAAGGCGCGACGGGUACGUCCGGGGUAGGAGUGAAAUCCCGUAAUCCUGGACGGACCGCCGAUGGCGAAAGCACGUCGCGAAGACGGAUCCGACAGUGAGGGACGAAAGCCAGGGUCUCCAACCGGAUUAGAUACCCUAGUAGUCC